Molecule: long non-coding RNA, 780 nt
Organism: Rhagoletis pomonella (apple maggot)
Lineage: Eukaryota; Metazoa; Arthropoda; Insecta; Diptera; Tephritidae
Exons: 3
Source: RefSeq, a predicted model, not a curated record
UUGUGUUUCACACACAAUCAGCUGCUCGAUUAACGAGUGGCGGUCAGCUGUCUUAAAAGAAUUUUUGUUUAUUUACAAUAAAUUGGUAAAAUGGAAAACAAUAAGUGUUUAAGCGAACUUUUUCUUGCGUAUACUGCAAAUAUACAAGUUUUGCAGUCAGUGCUGGCUAGCUACGCAAGUUCAAUGGCCUUAUAUAAAAAGAGAAAAGAAAAAAACUUCAUCAUUUUGCAACAUUUGCGAAGACAGCAGCUAUUGCUUUACGGGUUACUGCAGAGGAACGCUACUCAGAGAUCCCUCUGGAAAUUGAAUCGGCAGUCUUCUUUCUGGGAAGUUAAUUGCAAUUGCAACGAUGACCAUUUCUUUAAGACGCACUUCCGCAUGAACCGCACUAGUUUCGAAACACUCUGUGGUUUCCUCAAAAACCUGCACAAAGCCGACACAAACCGGCGCAACGCGAUUCCAUUGCAAAAACGCGUUGCGAUAGCUCUAUUUACGCUGGGAUCGUCUGGGGAGUACAGAGUGGUUUCCGAACUAUUUGGUGUUGGAAUAUCGACCGUGUGCACAAUCUUGUGGGAGUUUUGCGAGGAAGUCUGGCAAGCUUUGUCAGCGCAAUACAUAAAAAAAAUUACCACCGACUCCACAAACUUUAAAAGACUGUGUUGAUGGUUUUGACCGUCUCGGCUUUCCCCAAUGCCUUGGAGCAAUUGAUGGGUGCCACAUCGAAGUUAGGCCGAAUCCAGCCGAUGCAACCGACUACCACAACUAUAAAGGAUGGUAUUC